This 953-nucleotide ribosomal RNA is filed under the name Enterococcus faecium. RNAcentral describes it as "bacterial SSU rRNA". It matches the Rfam family "Bacterial small subunit ribosomal RNA", at positions 53 to 976 of the family's 1533-position model. Lineage: Bacteria; Bacillati; Bacillota; Bacilli; Lactobacillales; Enterococcaceae. The record is from RNAcentral.
ACAUGCAAGUCGAACGCUUCUUUUUCCACCGGAGCUUGCUCCACCGGAAAAAGAGGAGUGGCGAACGGGUGAGUAACACGUGGGUAACCUGCCCAUCAGAAGGGGAUAACACUUGGAAACAGGUGCUAAUACCGUAUAACAAUCGAAACCGCAUGGUUUUGAUUUGAAAGGCGCUUUCGGGUGUCGCUGAUGGAUGGACCCGCGGUGCAUUAGCUAGUUGGUGAGGUAACGGCUCACCAAGGCCACGAUGCAUAGCCGACCUGAGAGGGUGAUCGGCCACAUUGGGACUGAGACACGGCCCAAACUCCUACGGGAGGCAGCAGUAGGGAAUCUUCGGCAAUGGACGAAAGUCUGACCGAGCAACGCCGCGUGAGUGAAGAAGGUUUUCGGAUCGUAAAACUCUGUUGUUAGAGAAGAACAAGGAUGAGAGUAACUGUUCAUCCCUUGACGGUAUCUAACCAGAAAGCCACGGCUAACUACGUGCCAGCAGCCGCGGUAAUACGUAGGUGGCAAGCGUUGUCCGGAUUUAUUGGGCGUAAAGCGAGCGCAGGCGGUUUCUUAAGUCUGAUGUGAAAGCCCCCGGCUCAACCGGGGAGGGUCAUUGGAAACUGGGAGACUUGAGUGCAGAAGAGGAGAGUGGAAUUCCAUGUGUAGCGGUGAAAUGCGUAGAUAUAUGGAGGAACACCAGUGGCGAAGGCGGCUCUCUGGUCUGUAACUGACGCUGAGGCUCGAAAGCGUGGGGAGCAAACAGGAUUAGAUACCCUGGUAGUCCACGCCGUAAACGAUGAGUGCUAAGUGUUGGAGGGUUUCCGCCCUUCAGUGCUGCAGCUAACGCAUUAAGCACUCCGCCUGGGGAGUACGACCGCAAGGUUGAAACUCAAAGGAAUUGACGGGGGCCCGCACAAGCGGUGGAGCAUGUGGUUUAAUUCGAAGCAACGCGAAGAACCUUACCA